AUUGAACGCUGGCGGCAUGCUUUACACAUGCAAGUCGAACGGCAGCACGGGUGCUUGCACCUGGUGGCGAGUGGCGAACGGGUGAGUAAUGCAUCGGAACGUGCCCAUGAGUGGGGGAUAGCCCGGCGAAAGCCGGAUUAAUACCGCAUACGCCCUUAGGGGGAAAGCGGGGGAUCUUCGGACCUCGCGCUAUUGGAGCGGCCGAUGUCGGAUUAGCUAGUAGGUGAGGUAAAGGCUCACCUAGGCGACGAUCCGUAGCUGGUCUGAGAGGAUGAUCAGCCACACUGGGACUGAGACACGGCCCAGACUCCUACGGGAGGCAGCAGUGGGGAAUUUUGGACAAUGGGCGCAAGCCUGAUCCAGCCAUGCCGCGUGAGUGAAGAAGGCCUCGGUUGGUAAGACGUCUUUCUAGGUGGUAAGAAAGUAAGACGCUG
RNAcentral lists this ribosomal RNA (434 nucleotides) under uncultured bacterium. RNAcentral describes it as "bacterial SSU rRNA". It matches the Rfam family "Bacterial small subunit ribosomal RNA", at positions 30 to 463 of the family's 1533-position model. The record is from RNAcentral.